CGCUAUCACUCCUACGGGGAGGCAGCAGUGGGGAAUAUUGCACAAUGGGGGAAACCCUGAUGCAGCCAUGCCGCGUGUGUGAAGAAGGCCUUCGGGUUGUAAAGCACUUUCAGUAGGGAGGAAGGUAGUGUAGUUAACACCUGCAUUAUUUGACGUUACCUACAGAAGAAGCACCGGCUAACUCCGUGCCAGCAGCCGCGGUAAUACGGAGGGUGCGAGCGUUAAUCGGAAUUACUGGGCGUAAAGCGCAUGCAGGCGGCCUGUUAAGUCAGAUGUGAAAGCCCGGGGCUUAACCUCGGAAUUGCAUUUGAAACUGGCAGGCUAGAGUCUUGUAGAGGGGGGUAGGAAUUUCAGGUGUAGCGGUGAAAUGCGUAGAGAUCUGAAGGAAUACCAGUGGCGAAGGCGGCCCCCUGGACAAAGACUGACGCUCAGAUGCGAAAGCGUGGGGAGCAAACAGGAUUAGAUACCCUGGUAG
RNAcentral lists this ribosomal RNA (475 nucleotides) under uncultured bacterium. Its description in RNAcentral is "bacterial SSU rRNA". It matches the Rfam family "Bacterial small subunit ribosomal RNA", at positions 328 to 793 of the family's 1533-position model. The record is from RNAcentral.